Molecule: transfer RNA, 73 nt
Filed under: Oligosphaera ethanolica
Lineage: Bacteria; Pseudomonadati; Lentisphaerota; Oligosphaeria; Oligosphaerales; Oligosphaeraceae
Description: tRNA-Lys
Source: RNAcentral
GCCGUUUUUUGAGUCUAAAGAAUGCUGACUCUUAAUCAGUUGGUCGACGGUUCGAAUCCGCCCGAGGGCACCA